RNAcentral lists this transfer RNA (69 nucleotides) under Rattus norvegicus (Norway rat). It matches the Rfam family "tRNA". From Rfam's summary of the family: Transfer RNA (tRNA) molecules are approximately 80 nucleotides in length. The record is from Rfam by way of RNAcentral. Lineage: Eukaryota; Metazoa; Chordata; Mammalia; Rodentia; Muridae.
GGGGAUUUAGCUCAGUGGUUGAGCGCUUGCCUAGCAAGCGCAAGGCCCUGGGUUCGAUCCCCAGCUCCG